GGGCUUGUACUGGUUUCGACAGGGAUCUUGAAGAUGGAGAAGCUAUCCGCAGGCUGAUGCGUCAAAUCGCAAACUUAAAAUUAAACGCUAACGACAAUUACGAAUUAGCUGCAGCCUAAUUGCUGCAUGUCAGCCCCGGGGCACUCACACUUCGGGAAUCUGGCAUCAAACAUGUGAGAAACGAUGACGGCAAAGCUUUGAGCCGUCAGGCGUAUCAUGAAGCUACUGAACCCGUGAGGAUGUUCGUUUCCGCACGGCAGAGGGAAUGAAAAAGAACGGACUAUGAUAGUAGAAGUACAUGGGAUAGGUUUUUGGACGCGGGUUCGAUUCCCGCCAGGUCCACUU
This is a non-coding RNA of Lachnoclostridium sp. An169, 345 nucleotides long. It matches the Rfam family "transfer-messenger RNA". Rfam says of the family: Bacterial tmRNA, also known as 10Sa RNA or SsrA, is named for its dual tRNA and mRNA-like properties. Its role is to liberate the mRNA from a stalled ribosome. NCBI's taxonomy places the organism in Bacteria, Bacillati, Bacillota, Clostridia, Lachnospirales, Lachnospiraceae. The record is from Rfam.